UACGUAGGGGGCAAGCGUUGUCCGGAUUUAUUGGGCGUAAAGAGCGUGUAGGCGGUUAGGUAGGUCCGUUGUGAAAACUCGAGGCUCAACCUCGAGACGCCGAUGGAAACCAUCUAACUAGAGUCCGGAAGAGGAGAGUGGAAUUCCUGGUGUAGCGGUGAAAUGCGCAGAUAUCAGGAAGAACACCCGUGGCUAAGGCGGCUCUCUAGUACGGUACUGACGCUGAGGCGCGAAAGCGUGGGGAGCGAACAGG
Molecule: ribosomal RNA, 253 nt
Filed under: uncultured bacterium
Lineage: Bacteria
Description: partial 16S ribosomal RNA
Rfam family: Bacterial small subunit ribosomal RNA
Source: RNAcentral